GAUGAACGCUGGCGGCGUGCCUAACACAUGCAAGUCGAGCGAACUUCUUCGGAAGUGAGCGGCGGACGGGUGAGUAACGCGUGGGUAACCUGCCUCAUACACAUGGAUAACAUACCGAAAGGUAUGCUAAUACAAGAUAAUAUAGUGAAAUCGCAUGGUUUUACUAUCAAAGCUUUUGCGGUAUGAGAUGGACCCGCGUCUGAUUAGCUAGUUGGUAAGGUAAUGGCUUACCAAGGCGACGAUCAGUAGCCGACCUGAGAGGGUGAUCGGCCACAUUGGAACUGAGACACGGUCCAAACUCCUACGGGAGGCAGCAGUGGGGAAUAUUGCACAAUGGGCGAAAGCCUGAUGCAGCAACGCCGCGUGAGCGAUGAAGGCCUUCGGGUCGUAAAGCUCUGUCCUCAAGGAAGAUAAUGACGGUACUUGAGGAGGAAGCCCCGGCUAACUACGUGCCAGCCGCCGCCGUAACAC
RNAcentral lists this ribosomal RNA (471 nucleotides) under uncultured bacterium. Its description in RNAcentral is "bacterial SSU rRNA". It matches the Rfam family "Bacterial small subunit ribosomal RNA", at positions 28 to 526 of the family's 1533-position model. The record is from RNAcentral.